UCUACACCGGCCAAAUACGGACGACCGCUGGGCCAAUUGUGCGCCGCCCUAUGGGACUCCCAAUCACGCCCGGGUUGUGAUACCCUGGUUUGAAUCAAGGUUGUGUCUGUAGUGACGGCUCAAGCAUUGAGAUGCAGGGGCCUGUUACAUAGAGGUUGGAGCAGGGGGCCUGUUACACAGAGGUUGGAGCAGGGGCCUGUUACAUAGAGGUCGGAGCAGGGGCCUGUUACAUAGAGGUUGGAGCAGGGGCCUGUUACAUAGAGGUUGGAGUCAGGGGCCUGUUACAUACAGAGGUUGGAGCAGGGGCCUGUUACAUACAGAGGUUGGAGCAGGGGCCUGUUACAUACAGAGGUUGGAGCAGGGCCCUGUUACAUAGAGGUUGAAGCAGGGGCCUGUUACAUACAGAGGUUGGAGCAGGGGCCUGUUACAUACAGAGGUUGGAGCAGGGGCCUGUUACAUACAGAGGUUGGAGCAGGGGCCUGUUACAUACAUAUAGAGGUUGGAGUCGGGGGCCUGGUACAUAGAGGUUGGAGCAGGGGCCUGUUACAUACAUAUAGAGGUUGGAGUCGGGGGCCUG
This 577-nucleotide long non-coding RNA is filed under the name Salmo salar (Atlantic salmon). Its description in RNAcentral is "lncRNA (ENSSSAG00000100363.1)". Lineage: Eukaryota; Metazoa; Chordata; Actinopteri; Salmoniformes; Salmonidae. The record is from RNAcentral.